UAAUUCCUGAAAAUUAUAAGUAAAAAUAAUCAUAUAAAAAUUGCCAUGCAGGAAAAAAAUCCGGUUCAUGGACCUCAUAUUCCUGUGAGUGGUGUUCACUCGUAGAUUGAUGUUCAAGACUUUCCAUCUGAACUGCAGUGACUGGAUCCAGGGUAUCAAGUGAGGAGACCAUGGUGUUCGAGCCUGGAGGGCGCGCUAUGUUAUCUUUCUGAUUAGUAUCAAGCUUGGCAGUAAGCAAUAGAAAAGCUUAGAAUAAUGUAUUGACUGCAUCACAUUAAAGGUUUUCAUUGUUAA
Long non-coding RNA from Pararge aegeria (speckled wood butterfly), 294 nucleotides. RefSeq lists it as uncharacterized. The record is from RefSeq and is a predicted model, not a curated record. NCBI's taxonomy places the organism in Eukaryota, Metazoa, Arthropoda, Insecta, Lepidoptera, Nymphalidae. The transcript is spliced from 2 exons.